RNAcentral lists this ribosomal RNA (450 nucleotides) under uncultured bacterium. RNAcentral describes it as "bacterial SSU rRNA". It matches the Rfam family "Bacterial small subunit ribosomal RNA", at positions 791 to 1244 of the family's 1533-position model. The record is from RNAcentral.
UAGUCCACGCCGUAAACGAUGAUCACUCGAUAUUGGCCUCCGGGUCAGUGUCCAAGCGAAAGUAUUAAGUGAUCCACCUGGGGAGUACGCCGGCAACGGUGAAACUCAAAGGAAUUGACGGGGGCCCGCACAAGCGGUGGAGCAUGUGGUUUAAUUCGAUGAUACGCGAGGAACCUUACCAGGGCUUAAAUGCAGAACGACCGGCGUGGAAACAUGCCUUUCUUCGGACGGACUGCAAGGUGCUGCAUGGUCGUCGUCAGCUCGUGCCGUGAGGUGUCGGGUUAAGUCCCAUAACGAGCGCAACCCCUAUCUUUAGUUGCCAGCGGAUAAUGCCGGGGACUCUAGAGAAACUGCCAGCGUAAGCUGAGAGGAGGGUGGGGAUGACGUCAGAUCAUCAUGGGCCCUUACGGGGUAGGGGCUACACACGUGCUACAAUGGGUCGGUACAGGA